This 236-nucleotide ribosomal RNA is filed under the name uncultured bacterium. Its description in RNAcentral is "partial 16S ribosomal RNA". It matches the Rfam family "Bacterial small subunit ribosomal RNA", at positions 83 to 334 of the family's 1533-position model. The record is from RNAcentral.
UCCAUGAGUACAGUGGCGACCGGGUGAGUAACACGUGACUACCUACCCUUGAGUGGGGGAUAACCUCGGGAAACCGAGGCUAAUACCGCAUAAUAUCGAGAGAUCAAAGGAGCAAUUCGCUUUUGGAGGGGGUCGCGGCUGAUUAGCUAGUUGGUAGGGUAAUGGCCUACCAAGGCGAAGAUCGGUAUCCGGCCUGAGAGGGCGCACGGACACACUGGAACUGAAACACGGUCCAG